GUCUUGUGAUAACCAGGAAGCAAACUUUCCAGACAGUCAGUCUUAUUCAGUAGAGCUUGUAAAUUAAAACUGCGAACGCGUAUUUUACCUAUAAGCUUUCUUCAAAAUGCCUUUAGUUCGUGGCGGAACAUCCGAGGCUAAAGAUGCGAAUGAAGAAGUGCAGAAAAUAUGCGACCAGAUGAAGGCUGAUGCCGAGGAAAAAGCUGGGCGAAAGUUUGACGUUUUCACUGCUAAAUCGUUUAAAACGCAGGUUGUUGCGGGAACAAAUUACUUCGUUAAGGUGCAUGUAGGUGAUGAAGACUAUGUUCAUCUGCGUGUCUACAAAACACUGCCUCAUGCUGGAGAAACACUGCAGCUGACAAGCAUACAGACAGCCAAGGCUCAUCAUGACGCUAUUGAAUACUUCUGAAGCAGACCAUCAGAAAACAUCGCCAGUACUGCCCCAAAUACAAACAAAACCAUUUGUAAACACUACCUGGAAGGAGCCAGCCAAUAUUCAACAGCAUGUUUAUAAUCCAGACGAUGAAGACUCCACACGAUAACACAGCAGGACUGCAGUACAUCAGGCCAUUAACAACAAAAAAAAACAUCCUGUAAAGCAACUUCAGAGUCAUAUUCUUAUAAAUGACAUCUCAUUUUAGUAUUAGAGCUUCACCUCCUGCAUGUAGUGGAGAGAAUGCAAGUGCUCAUGAACGACAGCCCAGUUGGAGAAGGUCCAUCCCGAUGGAGUGAUCUCAGUAUUAAACUUGUUUGAUAUUGCGCUAGUGGUGUUAUGAAAAGAACCAGCAACAUAGAAACACACAACAUAUACACUAUACCAGUUAAAAUUAUAACAUAUAAUAAAUAAAACAUAUGAAAAAUGUUUUUUUU
Danio aesculapii is the source of this 870-nucleotide RNA transcript. It is a transcript of the gene named cystatin 14a, tandem duplicate 1, with no coding region annotated. NCBI's taxonomy places the organism in Eukaryota, Metazoa, Chordata, Actinopteri, Cypriniformes, Danionidae. The transcript has 4 exons. The record is from RefSeq and is a predicted model, not a curated record.